CAGUCGCCACGGUAACACGUAGGGUGCAAGCGUUAAUCGGAAUUACUGGGCGUAAAGCGUGCGCAGGCGGUUUGUUAAGACAGAUGUGAAAUCCCCGAGCUUAACUUGGGAACUGCAUUUGAAACUGGCAAGCUAGAGUCUUGUAGAGGGGGGUAGAAUUCCAGGUGUAGCGGUGAAAUGCGUAGAGAUCUGGAGGAAUACCGGUGGCGAAGGCGGCCCCCUGGACAAAGACUGACGCUCAGGUGCGAAAGCGUGGGGAGCAAACAGGAUUAGAUACCCCAGUAGUCCCUGUCUCUUAUAC
This 301-nucleotide ribosomal RNA is filed under the name uncultured bacterium. RNAcentral describes it as "partial 16S ribosomal RNA". It matches the Rfam family "Bacterial small subunit ribosomal RNA", at positions 509 to 807 of the family's 1533-position model. The record is from RNAcentral.